AAAAAAAAGUUGUCAAGACUGCUACUUUUUUAAGAAACUUUUUCAUCUGGGACUUCUUGAACAAUACUGGCAACAUCCAGAUCGUUGGGGUCAAAUCCUUCUCUCAGUUGCAUGCUGUGCCACUGGAAAUUGGGAAUGUUUAUACACUUACAAGACUGACUUUAACCUCCAAGCUACAUAUUCAGACCACCAGAUACUUCUCAAUCCCUCCAAAGUGUUCAUCAUUUCAACUUUUGUUGAUCUGUGUAAUGGAUAUAGUCAUGCUUACCUGCUGCAGUUCCCAUGGAGGUUUUGAGACCUAGUUAAUACUUGUAAAGUGUGCUUUGAGAGUCUUAACCAUGCCAGAGGACAACAUCUUCAAGCUAGCCACGGCAGGACGCCUGGGAACAUCUUAACGUGUAUAUCCACUCCAGAAUAAAUCAGUCAAGGGGCUGGAAUUUCAACCUGGAGACGGCUUUUCCAGUGGCUUGCAGAAGACAAAAAGAAACCACAGCUAAGUGCAGUAGCUAGGCUGCUGGCAAGUGCACCCAUUUCUUUUCUUUGUAUUUUUUGAUUUGGAAUAAAUGUAUGACUUAACUCAGUGCAAAUGUUGAA
Long non-coding RNA from Alligator mississippiensis (American alligator), 594 nucleotides. RefSeq lists it as uncharacterized. The record is from RefSeq and is a predicted model, not a curated record. Lineage: Eukaryota; Metazoa; Chordata; Crocodylia; Alligatoridae. The transcript is spliced from 3 exons.